UGAAGUCUCAGAGAACCACAUUCGCAGAGUCGUAGGGGACUGUCCACCUCUCAGGGCAAAUUUAAAGCCAUAAGUGUCCUGGGUUAAAUUUGCCCUGAGAGGUGGACAGUCCCCCACGACUCUGCGAAUGUGGUUCUCUGAGACUUCA
Molecule: microRNA precursor, 148 nt
Filed under: Marmota monax (woodchuck)
Lineage: Eukaryota; Metazoa; Chordata; Mammalia; Rodentia; Sciuridae
Source: RNAcentral